Oncorhynchus tshawytscha (Chinook salmon) is the source of this 338-nucleotide long non-coding RNA. The record is from Ensembl. Lineage: Eukaryota; Metazoa; Chordata; Actinopteri; Salmoniformes; Salmonidae.
CUCUCCUGAACCAAUGGAAUUGGGAGGGAUGGUGCGCAGGGAGACCGGAGGGGGUUCCUGCUCGAGCAUCAUCUAUGGUCGCAGAGAGCACACUGCUGGUCGUUGCCGGGUUGGUUCCUCUGGGCAUAGAGAAGGCAGGCAGGGCACUCUGGCAUCACCCCAGACCAGGCUCCCAGAACGUUAAGGCAGACGCAUUGUCUCAGCUGUAUGAGACAGAGGAGCGGUCCAUGGAUCCUACUCCCAGCUUCGUGUUUGGUGCCAGUAGUGUGGGAGCUGGACGCGGACAUUGAGCGGGCGUCACGUGCAGAGCCCUCUCCUCCUGAGUAUCCAGCUGGUUG